CCUACGGGUGGCAGCAGUGAGGAAUAUUGGUCAAUGGGCGCGAGCCUGAACCAGCCAAGUCGCGUGAGGGAAGACGGUCCUGUGGAUUGUAAACCUCUUUUGUCGGGGAGCAAAAGACGCCACGCGUGGCGUGCCGAGAGUACCCGAAGAAAAAGCAUCGGCUAACUCCGUGCCAGCAGCCGCGGUAAUACGGAGGAUGCGAGCGUUAUCCGGAUUUAUUGGGUUUAAAGGGUGCGCAGGCGGAAGAUCAAGUCAGCGGUAAAAUUGAGGGGCUCAACCCCUUCGAGCCGUUGAAACUGGUUUUCGUGAGUGAGUGAGAGGUAUGCGGAAUGCGUGGUGUAGCGGUGAAAUGCAUAGAUAUCGCGCAGAACCCCGAUUGCGAAGGCAGCAUACCGGCGCUCAACUGACGCUCAUGCACGAAAGUGUGGGUAUCGAACAGGAUUAGAUACCCCGGUAGUC
RNAcentral lists this ribosomal RNA (459 nucleotides) under uncultured bacterium. Its description in RNAcentral is "partial 16S ribosomal RNA". It matches the Rfam family "Bacterial small subunit ribosomal RNA", at positions 338 to 795 of the family's 1533-position model. The record is from RNAcentral.